Molecule: long non-coding RNA, 2259 nt
Organism: Triticum dicoccoides
Lineage: Eukaryota; Viridiplantae; Streptophyta; Magnoliopsida; Poales; Poaceae
Exons: 10
Source: RefSeq, a predicted model, not a curated record
UUCCCCGAUUGCCGAUUGGGUGAAACCCUAGCCACCACUCCCCGUCGCGCCCCUCUCCUCCACUCCCCAUCGCGCCCCCUCUCCUCCAAUCCCCGCAGCCGACGACGAGGUCUCGCCCUUCGCCGAGCUUGCCACCACCGCUGCUCUCCCCUCGCCAUCGCCGGGAGGAGUGUGUAGGCCGCCGCUUGCGUCGUUUCUCCGCAGCCGCCACCGCCCCCUUCCCUUCCAAGCCUGCGGAGAUGACGGCGCCGGCGCUGGCGCUCGCGGUGGUCGGGUACUGGGACUGAGUCGCCGCCGCCACAUCAUCUUCUCCUCCUCCCCAACACCGCAUGAGUGCGGGUCGCCGUCGCACCAGAUGAGGUGGGGCUACAACCACGCCCCCUUCACCUCUUCUACCCAGCCGUGCCACUCGGGACGACAAGAUCCAGCCAUGGCGGCCGAGAUCCAGUUGGCUGCCAUCGAUAUGAGGAGCGCUCGCGCCGCUGCUCCGCCGUUCGUCGUCCACUUGGCCGCAACCAUGCACAAGAAGAGGUGAUGUCACGGCAGCAGGGUCCUCACCUGUCUCCGCUCCCUCGUCUCCCCCUUCUGCUGGCAAGGGUGCUGAGCAGCAACAGUUCCAUCUCCCUCCCCAACGCGUCAUUGCCUCAUCUUGAGCUGCAAUGAACCAGAGCCCAGAGAAAGAGAAUUGAUGUGAUGAUUGAGGUAGAAGGCAUGGAUUGUUUGGGGCUUCUCUGAAAUAAGCGUCUCUAAUGCAGGAAAACAACAUGAAUGAGCUUAAGAGAUUUAAUGAAGAGAUGAAUACAGUCGGAGCCUGGGAUUUUUAUACACAGAGAUGGUGCAUAAAUAAGCAAAACAAAAAAUGCGCCAAUGCUUUGCCAGAAUUUCGUUGGUCCUCUCAAAAUUGUGGGGAAACCAAGAUUGAAUUUAGAGAUGUUUCAUAUGCUUGGCCGUUGACACACCUCUCUUCAAGGCAAGGUCAUUUCCAAGGUGAUUACAGCGCUAGGACCUGCCCCUGAUAAGAACCAGGGCACCCGUUUAAACAGAAUGAUGACUGUGUGAGGCUUAAAAUAUCGCCAUCAUAGCAGGGGUGAUGCUGUCACUUCCAUGGUCCACCAGAAUGAAGAUCGCACUCAGUGCUGCAAGGGGGCUUGCCUUCCUGCACGAAGCUGAGAAGCCAGUUGUCUACAUGGAUUCAAGACAUCCAACAUAUUGCUCGACGAGGAAAACAACAUGAAUGAGAUUAAGAGAUUUAAUGAAGAGAUAUGCCAGGAUGAGGCGGAGUUGAUGAAAGGCUUUGUAAAAGUCAGAUAAUUGGUUGAACUUCUUUUGGAAGAGGCAGCAGGAAGCAUAGAAGACAUGGUGCCAUGGAGAUUCAAAGUACGGAAAGAUGGAAGAGUGUCCCGGACAAAAGGACCAAGUUUUGGCGGCUGGGCAUCGGGAGUCCAGUUGGUUGGCUUCAGCCUUUGAGGUGUUGUCGGCUAGCGGCGCCGCUUCUGAGUGUCUCCUCAACUCACUCCUGUGGCACCUUUGGUCGGUUCGUGUGAAGUGCCACCUGUGAAGUUGAUCGACAAGGCAGUUGAAUGAAGCCACUUAUUAGCACCUUGCUUGCUCUUCUUUCUUUUUGGAGCCAAAAGAUCCAUCAGCGCUCCACUGCUGGGCAAGGCUAUCUCGGUCAUCUUCCGUCUGAUACAUAGGUCAAACCAGGGCUCACACACUCUCUCGCCGAUAUUUCACUUCGCUCCCGUGAAUACAUUGUCUUCUACGCACGGCGGUGCUGCCUUGGAUCGGCCCUCCAUCGCGCCGCUUCGGUCGUCACCAUGCAUCUCAGCUCCAAUAACCAGGUCACGAUGGCUGAUGAUGAGCUCCAGGCUCCGCUGGCUCCACCAACAGCUGUCUGCGAGCACUUGCACAGAACAGUUCUUGACAGCCUCCUAGCACACCUUGGGCGCGCUAUUAGAUGGGGCCUCUCCUAAUUCACAACUGCUCCUAUGCCUAUCAAGGUGAUUUCGUCUUGCUGUACAUGUAUUGCACUUCCAGGAUGCUUGAGUGCAGAAAUCAUUGUACUCCAUAUAUCUCACAAUUUGUUUGUAUCAGGUUCAUGUGAGGCAGAUGAAUUACGCCACAUGUUAGUAUGCUUAGUGAUUAUGGCUUUGUAGUUGGCUGUCCUUAUGUGUUCUCGCUUUUUGUAUUGAACUUUGUGUUGAAUGGCCGUAUUUUGCGGUUGGCUGAAUGCACCGAGCUUGAUCCUGUCUUAUAUUC